This 820-nucleotide long non-coding RNA is filed under the name Rosa chinensis. RNAcentral describes it as "sRNA RchiOBHm_Chr2g0147371". The record is from RNAcentral. Lineage: Eukaryota; Viridiplantae; Streptophyta; Magnoliopsida; Rosales; Rosaceae.
CGCCAAGCCCCCCGCUGAGUUCCGAGUCUCCGCCAAACUCCGAGCCUCCGCCGACCUCUGAGUGUCCGCCGAACAUCAAUCUUCCGCUGAGAUCAAGUGUCCAAUCACCGCUGUCUCCGCCGACCUCCAAGUCAGGACCAGCUCCGCUCCGCCAACCCGCAACGCAACAGCCUCCUCUGGCAUACGCCGCUGGCAUCAGUCUGCGGACACCACUGGCCACCACUUCCAGCGCUAGCCUCAGCGGCUCCGCUCAGCUCUGCAAACUUUGGCGGCAAACCAGCGGCAGCCAGCCCCGCUAGCCUCAGCGGCUCCGCUCGUAUCCAUCAGCGGAAUCUCCCUUCCGCUAGGCAAGCUUCUGAGCUUCAAUCUCCAUCAGCGGCCAUGCUCCUUCAGCGACGUAAAUAUCCGGCAGCGGUAACUCUACUCCGCUAAGCAUCACAGCUGGGAAAUCUCCACCGCCAACUAUGGCCAACUUACCGCCGAGCUCCUCCGCCGGCCAGGUUCCGCUGAGCAACUCCACUGAAUAACUGUACACCGCCAAACUUCUUCAGCGGCACCGCCGAUCUCAGUCAACGGUAACACCGGCCAUGUUCCGCUGGUCUCCACUGCUGGAUUUCACCGCUGAACAUCCCCACGAGCUUCUCUGCCGGACUUCAACACUAGGCUUCACCGCUGGGCAACCCCGUAACUUCAAUCUGCCAAUCACCUAGAACUACUUUGGGCACCCAUUCAAUCUCGUAGUCCCUCCGUGCUGCUGGUUCCGCGGCCUCAUGAUUUUGAUCUCUGGGUGCAGCUUAUCACCUAAACAUUGGUCAAAGCC